Molecule: long non-coding RNA, 4276 nt
Filed under: Panax ginseng (ginseng)
Lineage: Eukaryota; Viridiplantae; Streptophyta; Magnoliopsida; Apiales; Araliaceae
Description: long non-coding RNA (PGIN_LNC008574)
Source: RNAcentral
ACUAAGUUUAAAGAGAGAUAGAAUAAGAAAGAAUAGAGUAUAAAGCAAAUAAGCUAAAUGGAAUUGUCUUUUCCCUGUUAAGACAUCACCACUCCUUGUUGCACUCUCCUUUCCAAUUCAGUACCCUCAUUCUCUCUUUUCUCCUCAUGGUUCCUUCCUUGUUCAGCAAUAUUACUGAACCCCUUAUCUCUUAUUAUAACUUCAUGUAGUUCGGGUAUUAAAGCAAAGGAAGGAUUAAUAAAGGGAUACAAUUGAGCAACAAGGUAACCCAAUUUUCAUGUUCUAUAACUUGUAAUUAUGAAAUUAGCUAACAGUAAAGUAAAAUUGGUAACUUGAUUUGGGUUAAUUAGUUUUGAAUUAUAUAAUUAAUUCCUAGUGACUGUAAUUCGUAUGUGAUAACUUGGAUAAGUAAUAGUUGUUGUUAUAUGAAUUAGAAAAAAAAGAAAAAGGGUUUAGUAGUUGUUGUGCAGAGAAUUAAGGUUGGAGGAUUUCCAUGGUGAAAUCCUAGCCAAACUAUAAACAAAUGGCUAUGAAAAUCUGAAAAUUAAGAGAUGCACACUAACUGUUUAAUAAAAUGCCCAAAUAAGGUUUCCAAGCUUAAAAACGAAUAAUUACUUGAAGCUUGGAACUAGAAGACAUUUGAAUAGGUGGUAUGAGGUUUCCUAAGUCCAUUAGUGGAACCAAAACAAGUUUGAAAAGCAAUGGAAUGAAAUUAAAUCAAAUGAAAUUUCCUUAAAAAGGGUACGAACACUGAGUUUUGAGCUUUUAAUUAGGUGUCUUAAUAAUGUUGUUAGAGACCAAACUUGGAUGAAAAAUGUACCUUAUAACAAGGUCUCGAAUUAGGAACAAAUUUUAAGUCAUUUGAACUUGUAUAGCAAAAGUUACGCUAACCGUUAGGAGGCAUGAAGAAACAAAAUCCGAAAAGUUAGUUGACUGCUGACCCUAAAAGAAAAAUUCGGGGAUAUCUAGAUUGUUCAGAAAAUUCUGUUCUUUUGGUAUGUUAUAGUACACUGAAUAAGCUUUCCGUAAACUCCGAAACGGACUAAUUUCGACUUCGGAGCAAAGAGUUAUGACCGUUCAAAAUAGUCGCGUCAAAACUGUCUAACCAACUCGGGGUAGUCACCUUGCACGAGUUUUCUGGAAUUCUGUGUUUUAAAUUUGGAAAUGGUCAAAGAAUAAAAGUUGUAGCCUCGGAAGUUAGCUUCGCGCGGGCUCAAGAAUCGCUCAAAAAUGUUUUGAAACGAAAAAGUUAUGACUGUUUUAGCGAGAGAGGGUAGUGCUGAAACGGAAGUGAAAACUGUUACGAACGUCCAUUUCGGAUGCGUUAUUUGAACCAUCCAUCGAACCCAAAAUAGUUGGCUAUAUUUUUCUAAAAAUAGUCUCAUAUACCAAGUAUGUCAUAUUCGAAAAUCAACACAAUAUAAUGUGUGAGCUAGAAGUAAUAAGGUAGCGAAAUAAGCAUGUUGGAACAGGGCUGCUGCCCACGGCAGCAGCAGUGGCUGUGUUUGGCGAUGGCUGGGGGCUUUUUUGGGCUCUCAGUCAACCCAUUUAAAUUACUUGGAUUGUUCAACUAACAUUCUUCCAUAAUAGGUGACUGUAUCACCUAUAGAAUAUUCAAAAAUUAAGCGUAAUCGGAUUAAUAAAUUGUAAGCUAUCAUCUAUUUAUAGAAUUUAUGAAAAAUUGAAGAACAUAAUGUUGGGAAUUGUUGUUAUUGCUAAAUUACACAAGAAUGGACUAAGGAGAAGAAUUAGCUUGAUUAAUAUUGGUAAUUAAGGCUAUGGGUAAUUGUUAUAAGUGCGAGAAUUUCUGUAUUGCAUAAUGGUUGCAUUAAAAUCAAGAAACUAAGAAAUGACAAGGUUAACUUUGAAGUUCGUAAACUAACUUAUGUAAAUAUGUAUACAUGUAUGGUUUAUAUUGUGAAUUGGUCCUUAUGGACUAAAUUAGAGCUUUGGCGUAUAGUUUUUGUUGUGCGGAGCAAUAAGGUUGGCAAAAAUGGUUUGAUUAUGUAACCCAAACUUAUAGAAAUCAGUCCACAAAAAGGAUGCACGCGCGAUGUUCGUUGAAAUGCUCAAAAGGGCCAUUUUGGCUAAAAUUACAUAAUUUAAUGAAGCCGAUACUUUAGACGAGUCUUAUUAUAUUAAAUAAGACUUAUCUGUAAAGCAAGUUGGGUUGGAACGCGUCGAUGCGAGUUUUGACCUCUAAACGCGAAAAUUGAAAAUUUGUGACCAUAAAGAGUAAGAAUGAUUAAAAACUUGGAAUUUUACGAAGCCGAGACUUUGGACUCGUCUUAAUAUGUUAAACAAGACUUAGUUGUGAAGCAAAACGAGUCGGAGCGAACCACGACGAGUUUUGGCUUGUGAACGUAAAGUCUAAAAAAUAGCCUCUACAGCCUUUUUCGGCACACUGUUUGGUCAGUUUAGAAAACUUAAAUUGCUGAGGUUAUAUUUUUAAAAAAAAACUUUGAUAUGCCAUGUAUAACAUAUCCAAAAAUAGGAUCAGUCCGAUAAACGAGCAAGGCGUGUGAAACUCGCAAAAAGGGGCAGCAGCAGCAUGAGCAGCAGUAGCAGGCCAGCGCGCGAACGCCGUGCGGCUGGGCAACUGUCUGACAUGCUUUUUGCUCGCUGUUUUGAUUGGCUUUCGUGGUUCCUUUUCGCGGUUAGAAAUUUUUAAAAAAAUACUAUGACAUAAGAGCUCCAACAUACCAAGAAUUUGUUGCGAUUCGAGUUAUGGUUUGAGAAUUAAAAAUAGGUAAAAAGGCAUGUCAGAACUAACAUUUGAGCAACGUCGAGUGUCGACACGCCGGGCUGUUUUGACAUUCGUCGUUCCGAAUCGCGUUCGGGCGAGAUUUUAAGCAAUGUUAAGUCUAAUAAAGUCCCAAUAUGAGAGUUUUGAUGUUUUUGAUAAAUUUAUGCCACGAAAAUUUAUUCCGAGCAUAAAUAAUGCAAUAAAAAUAUUAUAAAAAUAUGAAAUUUCAUUUUUAAGCAAACGGAAGCCGGUGAUGGUAUGAAAAAUGGUUUUAUAACGAAACAAAAAGUAUGGAACCAUUAAAAAGUUGUAAUAAUCAUAAAAGUGAUGCAAUGAAGAUUUGCAGGGAACAAAAUGGAGUUUUUGAGCCAAGAUUUAUAUAUACUUAAUAUAUGAAUAUAUAUAGUGAAAAUGUGAAUAUUUGCAAAACGAAAAAUGCAGUAAGUGGGUUAGCGGGAUAUAAUGUUUAUAAAUGAGACAAUGGUUCGAGUUGACUCAGGUGUGGGCAAAAUAAUAAUAUAAAAAUUAUUUAUAUUAAAGGAAAAAUAUAGGAAAUUGAAUUUUACUAUAAAAGCUAUUUAUUAGCUGUUUAAGUUCCGAAUUAAUGGGUAAAGGCAUAAGAUAUUCCUAAAGUAGAAUAUAAAUGAUUGAAGCUUCAAAAUGUAAAAUAUUUACAUACUAAAAUGUGAGGGACCUUUAUUUGGUAUAAAAAGGUUGAAACGAAUUAAGUUUCUAAAUAAACUAAUAUUCGUUUUGAGUAAGAAUAAAUAAUAUUAGUUUGUAUAAAACUAAUAAUUAUUAUUGAUGAAUAUACAUGCAUGUUUUGUAACAUAUUCAAUUAUCUAAUAUGUGUGUACAUGUAAAUAUAAUUCUGUAGGAAUUGUGGAGAAACUCUAGGCUAACUUUUGUGGUAAUCUCCAAUUAAGGCAAGUUUUUCAGUUCUAUUAUGUUUGUGGAUUGAAUGUGACUAUGUGGUGAGUUAUAUACCAUGCUUUAUGAAUUGUUACAGUCAAAAUAUGACUAAGUUAAUUGGGUUAUGGAACUCAAUUUAUAUGUGAUAACACAUGUUGUAUAAUGUAACUCGAUAAAUUAGAAAUGUAUAAUGCAUGAAUGUAUAUUUUGUAAGAAAUUAUUGAUGUAUGCGAAUAUGCGUAGUAAAGGAAAUAUAGUGCAUAUGGAAUUGUGUUCUAUGUGAAACAUGAUAGACUGUUAAAUUUGCUGAGCUAUCGAGCUCAAUCUUGCAAACACAAACUUUUUGCAGGUUAAUGAUGUUGAGCGAUAUUACUUGCUAUACGGAUGAUGAAGAUUGAACGAUGUGCAAAAAUGAAUACAUUUCUUUGAAUUAGAAAUGGUAUAAAGCUAUGAUUGAUAGUUUUGCUAAAUGUAAUUGACAGUUAUGUAUAGUUUGAAAUGUUGAAUAAAUAAAGAAUGUUUAUUCUGAAAUGAAAAUAGAUAUGAUUCUGAAAUAAAUGAAUCAUCGAUAGAAAGCUAUGAAGUAUUGAGACUUAAUCUUUUAAUACGUUUACUCAG